This is a long non-coding RNA of Ficedula albicollis (Collared flycatcher), 2227 nucleotides long. The record is from Ensembl. NCBI's taxonomy places the organism in Eukaryota, Metazoa, Chordata, Aves, Passeriformes, Muscicapidae.
GACCCACGUGGGACUGGGGGGGUGACACAUCCGUGGGGUGGGAGGGGAAGGGGACACUCGUGGUGGUGAUGACACAGGAGGGUUGAUGAUGAGGAAGGGCCGCACUGUGGGAGGGAACAUUCACAAUGACAAUGUGGGACAGGGGACACUUGUGGGGAUGACACAGAGGGUGACACAAUGACAGCGUGGGAGGGGGACACUUUCAGUGAUGAUGAGGGACACGAACAGACACGGUGCGGAAAGGGACAAAGGCUGGUGACGUGGGGAGGGGGACACACAUCGGUGACAUUGGAGGGGGACACACUGAUGUCAUGGGAGGAGAGACUCACUUGUGAUGUGGGAAGGGACAUUCACGAUGACAUGGGAGAGGGACACACUGGUGACAUGGGAAGGGACACGGUGAUGAGGGAAGGGACAUUCCCGAUGCCAGGGGAGGGGACACUCACACUGGUGACAUGGGAAGGGACAUUCCCGAUGCCGGGGGAGGGGACACUCACGUUGAUGAUGUGGGACAGCUCCACCAGCACGAGCGGCUCCGCGGGCCGGGUGGGCGGGCGCACGGUCACCGUCAGCACCUUGGAGGUGACAGCCAGGGGGCUCCUGCGGGAAGGGACACGGGGCUGUGACAGGCCGGGGGACAGCAGGGGACACCGCGGGCGGUGCCACUCACCUGGGCGGGGGCAGGAUGAGCCCCAGCGUGCGGUACAGCACCGCCCCGAUGACAAAGUGCGACGACUCCUCGGCUUCUGCGGGAAGAGCCAGGCGCUCGGUGACGCGCGGGGCUGCCAGAUGUGCGCCCAGAUGUGCGCUGGCCCCCGAGCACGCCUGGUCACCUGGACACGCCCGGGGAUGCCGCUCACGUGUGUGUGUGUGUGUGUGUGAAUGAGAGCCAGGUGUGAGCUCACAGCUGCACCAGAUGUGUGUGCCCACGCGUGCAGGCAUGCAGCGCCUCCAGAUGUGCACGGUCCCGUGUGCGCACACCCAGCACACACAGUUCCAGAUGCGCAGGCUCGCUCACAUUCUCGUGCACAAUUCCAGAUGUGCAGGCUCACACAUACAUGCCCAGUUCCAGAUGUGCAGGCUCACACAUACAUGCCCAGUUCCAGGUGUGCAGGCUCACGCGCUCGUUCACAUCCGGAUGUGCACUCAUACUUGCAUGCUCACACCUGUGCGCACACCUGCCCGCUCCCAGAUGUGCACUCACAGCGCCUCCAGAUGUGCAGCCUCACACACGCAAGCCCAGUGCCAGGCGUGAAGGCUCUCACACACAUGCACAGUUCCAGAUGUGCAGGCUCACACACUCGUGCACAGUUCCAGAUGUGCAGGCUCACACAAGUGUGCCGAGUUCCAGAUGUGCAAGCUCUCACACGGUCACAUCCAGAUGUGCAGGCUCACACAAGUGUGCCCAGUUCCAGAUGUGCAAGCUCUCACACGGUCACAUCCAGAUGUGCAGGCUCACACAAGUGUGCCCAGUUCCAGAUGUGCAAGCUCUCACACGGUCACAUCCAGAUGUGCAGGCUCACACAAGUGUGCCCAGUUCCAGAUGUGCAAGCUCUCACACGGUCACAUCCAGAUGUGCAGGCUCACACAAGUGUGCCCAGUUCCAGAUGUGCAAGCUCUCACACGGUCACAUCCAGAUGUGCAGGCUCACACAAGUGUGCCCAGUUCCAGAUGUGCAAGCUCUCACACGGUCACAUCCAGAUGUGCAGGCUCAUGCGCCAUCCCAGGCCCUCCGGGGACAUUCAGGCAGGCACUCGCACCGCUCCAGAUGUGCGCCCCGCCAGCUGUGCGCACAGCUGGCCGCCCCCGCUCACCGGCCGAGGCGAGGCUCAGCACCUCCCUGGGGAUGAAGAGCUUGUCCUCGGAGCUGCGCGCCCAGUCCUUCAUCCCCCGCCGCCCCUUCAUGGGGAAGUUGAUGUCGCUGGACACGGCGCUCACGGGCUCGCGCUGGAUGCUGGUCACUGUCGGCGACACCGCUGUCACCUCCCGCUCCUGUGUCCCCUCGUGUCCCCACCCUGCCCCGCAGCUCACCCAGGUUGUCGGUGACGAUGAGGGAGCUCUGGAAAGCCUUCAGCGCGUUCCCCACCAGGUGGAUGAAAUCCUCCACCACCUUCAUCAGGUGCACGGAGCCGGGAGAGACCUGGAACCGCCACCGGGGAUGGGUCACCGCGCUGGGGACGCCUCCGUGGUGGGGACAUCCCAGCUGCCACCACCCACCCUCCCCCUG